ACGAACGCUGGCGGCGCGCCUAACCCAUGCAAGUCGAACGAGCGAGAGAGAGCUUGCUUUCUCGAGCGAGUGGCGAACGGGUGAGUAACGCGUGAGGAACCUGCCUCAAAGAGGGGGACAACAGUUGGAAACGACUGCUAAUACCGCAUAAGCCCACGGCUCGGCAUCGAGCAGGGGGAAAAGGAGCAAUCCGCUUUGAGAUGGCCUCGCGUCCGAUUAGCUAGUUGGUGAGGUAACGGCCCACCAAGGCGACGAUCGGUAGCCGGACUGAGAGGUUGAACGGCCACAUUGGGACUGAGACACGGCCCAGACUCCUACGGGAGGCAGCAGUGGGGAAUAUUGCACAAUGGGGGAAACCCUGAUGCAGCGACGCCGCGUGGAGGAAGAAGGUCUUCGGAUUGUAAACUCCUGUUGUUGGGGAAGAUAAUGACGGUACCCAACAAGGAAGUGACGGCUAACUACGUG
This 465-nucleotide ribosomal RNA is filed under the name uncultured bacterium. Its description in RNAcentral is "partial 16S ribosomal RNA". It matches the Rfam family "Bacterial small subunit ribosomal RNA", at positions 29 to 507 of the family's 1533-position model. The record is from RNAcentral.